This 73-nucleotide transfer RNA is filed under the name Urostrophus longicauda. RNAcentral's name for it is "tRNA-Ile". It matches the Rfam family "tRNA". Rfam says of the family: Transfer RNA (tRNA) molecules are approximately 80 nucleotides in length. Their secondary structure includes four short double-helical elements and three loops (D, anti-codon, and T loops). Lineage: Eukaryota; Metazoa; Chordata; Lepidosauria; Squamata; Leiosauridae. The record is from RNAcentral.
GGAAAUGUGCCUGACAACAUUAAGGAGCAUCUUGAUAGGGUGUUACACAUGGGUUAAAAUCCCAUCAUUUCCU